Molecule: ribosomal RNA, 496 nt
Filed under: uncultured bacterium
Lineage: Bacteria
Description: partial 16S ribosomal RNA
Rfam family: Bacterial small subunit ribosomal RNA
Source: RNAcentral
AUGAACGCUGGCGGCGUGCCUAAUACAUGCAAGUCGAGCGAACGGACGAGAAGCUUGCUUUUCUGAUGUUAGCGGCGGACGGGUGAGUAACACGUGGAUAACCUACCUAUAAGACUGGGAUAACUUCGGGAAACCGGAGCUAAUACCGGAUAAUAUUUUGAACCGCAUGGUUCAAAAGUGAAAGACGGUCUUGCUGUCACUUAUAGAUGGAUCCGCGCUGCAUUAGCUAGUUGGUAAGGUAACGGCUUACCAAGGCAACGAUGCAUAGCCGACCUGAGAGGGUGAUCGUCCACACUGGAACUGAGACACGGUCCAGACUCCUACGGGAGGCAGCAGUAGGGAAUCUUCCGCAAUGGGCGAAAGCCUGACGGAGCAACGCCGCGUGAGUGAUGAAGGUCUUCGGAUCGUAAAACUCUGUUAUUAGGGAAGAACAUAUGUGUAAGUAACUGUGCACAUCUUGACGGUACCUAAUCAGAAAGCCACGGCUAACUACGUG